CCCUUAGAUGUUCUGGGCCGCACGCGCGCUACACUGAUGCAUUCAACGAGUCUAAAACCUGGUCUGAUAGGGCUGGGUAAUCUUUUGAAUGUGCAUCGUGAUUGGGAUAGAUGAUUGCAAUUCUUCAUCUUCAACGAGGAAUGCCUAGUAAACGCAAGUCAUCAGCUUGCAUUGAUUACGUCCCUGCCCUUUGUACACACCGCCCGUCGCUCCUACCGAUUGAAUGAUCCGAUGAAUACCAUGGAUUGAGAGUACGAAUGGGUUCGCUCAUUUCUGCUGCUCGAGAAGUGGAGUAAAUCUUAUCAUUUAGAGGAAGGAGAAGUCGUAACA
RNAcentral lists this ribosomal RNA (330 nucleotides) under uncultured eukaryote. Its description in RNAcentral is "partial 18S ribosomal RNA". It matches the Rfam family "Eukaryotic small subunit ribosomal RNA", at positions 1470 to 1796 of the family's 1831-position model. The record is from RNAcentral.